AUCUAAAUAGUUUAGUUAUAGAAUAAUAAUUUGUGGUGUUAUAGGUGUGUAUGUUACUUUAGAUU
RNAcentral lists this transfer RNA (65 nucleotides) under Cloresmus pulchellus. RNAcentral's name for it is "tRNA-His". The record is from RNAcentral. Lineage: Eukaryota; Metazoa; Arthropoda; Insecta; Hemiptera; Coreidae.